RNAcentral lists this ribosomal RNA (623 nucleotides) under Malassezia globosa. RNAcentral's name for it is "eukaryotic LSU rRNA". It matches the Rfam family "Eukaryotic large subunit ribosomal RNA", at positions 48 to 656 of the family's 3401-position model. Lineage: Eukaryota; Fungi; Basidiomycota; Malasseziomycetes; Malasseziales; Malasseziaceae. The record is from RNAcentral.
UAGCGGAGGAAAAGAAACUAACAAGGAUUCCCCUAGUAACGGCGAGCGAAGCGGGAAGAGCUCAAAUUUGAAAGCUGGCACCUCCGGUGUCCGCGUUGUAAUCUCGAGACGUGUUUUCCGUGCGGCUCUAUGGACAAGUCCCUUGGAAUAGGGCAUCGUAGAGGGUGAGAAUCCCGUACUUGCCAUGGAAGAACCGUGCUUUGCGAUACACGCUCUAAGAGUCGAGUUGUUUGGGAUUGCAGCUCAAAAUGGGUGGUAGACUCCAUCUAAAGCUAAAUAUCGGGGAGAGACCGAUAGCGAACAAGUACCGUGAGGGAAAGAUGAAAAGCACUUUGGAAAGAGAGUUAAAAGUACGUGAAAUUGUCGAAAGGGAAGCACUUGAAGUCAGCCAUGCUGCUUGAGACUCAGCCUGGCCUUUGGGCUUGGUGUAUUUCUCGGUGGCAAGCCAGCAUUGGUUUGGGUCGUCGGAGAAGCGCAUAGGGAAUGUAGCGUUUCCGGACGUGUUAUAGCCUUAUGCAGGAUACGACGACCUGGAUCAAGGAACGCAGUGUGCCCUCUGGGCGGGUCUUCGGACACCUUCACACUUAGGAUGCUGGCGUAAUGGCUUUAAGUGGCCCGUCUUA